GGCGAGUUAGCUCAGUUGGUAGAGCAGCAGACUCUAAAUCAGAAGGUCACGGGUUCGAUUCCCGUACUCGCCG
Molecule: transfer RNA, 73 nt
Filed under: Stenotrophomonas phage vB_SmaS_DLP_5
Lineage: Duplodnaviria; Heunggongvirae; Uroviricota; Caudoviricetes
Rfam family: tRNA
About the family: Transfer RNA (tRNA) molecules are approximately 80 nucleotides in length. Their secondary structure includes four short double-helical elements and three loops (D, anti-codon, and T loops).
Source: Rfam by way of RNAcentral